GGGGUGGGCCGGGUCUCUCUAGCCUCCGCGGUACUACGCAGCUUCAUGGUUUUAACUCUUGGUGGUCUUUUGACCGUCCUCAGUCCUUACCGUGCGGAGUUUUGGAUACAUUCUUAGCAGCUUUUUCGCUCCGGAGAAGUUCUUUAUCUUUCUGAGCCGCAGUUUGCCCAACUGCAAAAUGGAAAGAGAUGAAGCAGGAAUUAAGAUACUCUAGGAGCUCGCCCACAGCUGAUUCAGGGCCCCAUUCUGAGGUUACACCCUUAAGCCUUUGCACCACUCAAAGGAAGGAAACCAAGAGAGAGGGGUGGCUGGCUGCUGUUUGGAGACAGUGGUCCUUGUAUUGGCGCCCCGCGGAAUCACUCCAGAUGAGUCAGUGGAUACAGUCUAUAGGUCCCGCCUCAUUGUACGCAAACAGCAGUGGGCAUAUGGCCGUGGGGGGUUGAUACAGCCUGUCCGGGGUGGGACUCUGUGUGUAUGGGAGGCUAAAUCUCAGCAGGACUUUUCCAGUUGCUACCAGACUACGCACUGUCGCCUGAUGGUUAAGAACUGAAGCUUUAGCCGUGCGCGGUGGCUCACGCCUGUAAUCCCAGCACUUUAGGAGGCAGAGGCGUGUGGAUCACCUGAGGUCACGAGUUCGAGACCAGCUUGACCAACAAGGUGAAACUCAGUCUUUACUAAAAAUACAAAAAUUAGCCGGGCGUGCUGGCAGGCGCCUAUAGUCCCAGCUGCUCGGGAGACUGAGACAGGAGAAUUGCUUGAACCCGGGAGGCGGAGGUUGCAGUGAGCCGAGAUUGCGCCAUUGCACUCCAGCCCGGACGAGGGAGCAAGACUCCAUCUCAAAGAUGAAGCUUUGAAGUCAUACUGAUCUGGUUUGCGUCUGAUCACACAGGUUCAAUGACACAGCCGGCUAGAGGAAGCAGAGAUGCUAACCACUGCAGCCCCGAUCUUAACCCUGAAGGGGAGGGAUUGAGCUGUUAGAGAGAGGUACUCAGUUGACUUCUCCCUCUCUCUUUCCAGCUGGCAUAUCCGAAUGGGCUGAGCUACCGGAUUAAGAGGGACACCCCAAAGCCCCCAUUGCUGGGUUAUUGCUCCAGAGCCAAUGUUCUUGGGGAAAGGAAGAUAUGCCCUUUGUCAACAUUGCCACUGCUGGUCUGUAAACUCCUAGACGGCCAGCUGGUGGUUCACAAACCAGGACUCCUUGCUCUGGCCCUACCCCUACCUACCAGAAUGACCGUGAACCCUUCCCCACUCACUCCUACAACCAGGUUUCCAUCUCCUCUCUCAGCUUAGGUUUCCCUAACUGUAAAAUAAAAGGGUUGGACUAGGUUAAGGACUUCCUGCUAUUUCUCUCUCCCACACUCUAAGGUUCCUUAGGAAUGCUUCAGAAAACAGCAGGGGUUGGGGCAAGGAUGCCGCUUGAGUCCCAGAGCAACUCCAAUUUCAUAGGCACAUAAAUUUAUGUGAAAGUAU
Long non-coding RNA from Homo sapiens (human), 1470 nucleotides. Ensembl annotates it as long intergenic non-protein coding RNA 1635. The record is from Ensembl. NCBI's taxonomy places the organism in Eukaryota, Metazoa, Chordata, Mammalia, Primates, Hominidae.